GGUAGCUCAGUGGUAGAGCAUAUGCUUAGCAUGCACGAGGUCCUGGGUUCAAUCCCCAGUACGUCCA
RNAcentral lists this transfer RNA (67 nucleotides) under Camelus bactrianus (Bactrian camel). It matches the Rfam family "tRNA". Rfam says of the family: Transfer RNA (tRNA) molecules are approximately 80 nucleotides in length. Their secondary structure includes four short double-helical elements and three loops (D, anti-codon, and T loops). Further hydrogen bonds mediate the characteristic L-shaped molecular structure. tRNAs have two regions of fundamental functional importance: the anti-codon, which is responsible for specific mRNA codon recognition, and the 3' end, to which the tRNAs corresponding amino acid is attached (by aminoacyl-tRNA synthetases). tRNAs cope with the degeneracy of the genetic code in two manners: having more than one tRNA (with a specific anti-codon) for a particular amino acid; and 'wobble' base-pairing, i.e. permitting non-standard base-pairing at the 3rd anti-codon position. RNAcentral also lists the same sequence under 3 other names. Lineage: Eukaryota; Metazoa; Chordata; Mammalia; Artiodactyla; Camelidae. The record is from Rfam by way of RNAcentral.